CCUCCUUUAAACUUAAAUUUUUGUUAAAAGCAAUUCACUCACUUUAAAAUUGAUACCAUGAACUACGAGGUUUUGAUCCCUCAUUUUUAUGUUGGUACAUAGGCAUAAGUCCGGAGGUCUUGUCAAACACAAAAAUAUAAUCAAUGAAUUCUUUUCUCAUCCCCACACUCUAUUUAUUGCAAGCAUCAUUUUAUACCAAAAAUACAUACACACAUAAAAAAGGGCUCUCUAGGAGUACCUAGGACACUUUGGGUGCUAACACCUUCCCUCUGUGUAACCAACCCCCUUACCUGUAAUCUCUGGCAUUUUAUUAGUUUUGAUUUGAAAACUUCUUAUCUUUGAGUUUUGCUCGUACUUUUCUCUUUUCCCUUGGAAACAAUAAAAGCGCGGUGGCGACUCUGAUUUUAUUGACGUUAAGUUUAUCCAUAGCUUAAUGGUCAUGAAUUUACCGCUACAGUCUGCACGGGAAAAUAUUUCAUUUUAAUAUGCAAUUGAAAGAAAAUAGAAAUAUAGACGAAAUGAACGUAAUGUAAUAGAUAUAACAUUAAUAAAAUCACAACAAAGCAAAAUAUGCAAGUCGAUAAAAACUUCAUAAUAUUUUGAUGAGUUUGAAUAAUAAAAUUAUUAUGUGUCCAACAAAGGAAAUUAAAAACUAAAGUUGUAAUAGUUAUGCAUAAACAAAUGAUACUUGAGGAAUUGGUAGGAUCAAUUGUAGACAUGACAUAACCUAUAAACAUGUUUAAAUAAAGGUGAAUUAAUGAUUUACGAUAAUAAUGGCAGAAAAAAUAUUAAUGUGAUUUAAAAAAAAUAUUAAUAAGCAGAAAAUUAAAGUUACCUAUAUGAUGUUAUGAAAAAAUUCUUUAAAGACAACAUUUGUUGUUUGAAAUAAGGAUUUGUUGUCUUUGUCAUGUAUCAAGAUUUUCAAUCCAGCUUUGCUCUUAACUCUUGAAAUAGCCACAUAUAGUUGUUCGUGGCUGAAAACAUUCUUGGGGAAAUAUAAACCGACAUAGUCCAAUGAUUUACUUUGAGAUUUGUUGAUUGUCAUAGUAAAUGACACAAUAAUUGGGAAUUGUCGUCUGAUAAGUUUGAAUGGCCAUGGAGAUUGAUAAGGAGACAAAUACAUUUUUGGGAUGUAAAUAGUGUUUCCAAUAUUUACUCCUGAAAUAAUUGUUGCUCCGAUUACAUGGUUGACCAACUUAGUAACUCUCAAUCUUGUACCAUUGCAAAGUCCUUCUGAUUGAUCCAAAUUCCUUAUCAACAUGAUGGUUGUGCCAAUUUUCAAUUUAAUUGAGUGGUUUGGCAAUCCAUAAGUUUUUAGACAACUCAAAAAUUAUGGUGUCAAAUGCUCAAAAGCAUCGUUAUCGUUGGCUUCUGAUCUAUCAAUGGAAUCACAACUCAAAUAUUCUUUUGAGUCACUUAAAUUAAAAAUGAAUGAUGCUUAAUGUCUCAAAGUUAAACAUCAUGAAACUAUAAAUGCAUGACAUACCAAAUGUUAUGCUAUGUAUUUACCGUAUGAAACUAUAAGCAUGUAAUUUAUAAGUAUCAUUUUGCAUAGUAAACUAUUCAUCAUAUGUUAUCGUUUAAAACCGGAUGACAUAUAUAAUGCACAACUGAUUAUGUUGUUAAAACAUUGUAUAACCAAUAUAAUAUUUAUGCACAGUUUCUCAUAGAAUGUUGUUGCACUUUUUGUUAUAACACUAAGGAAUAGAAUAUAUAUGCAACAAUUCUAUGAAUAGAUUUACAUAUGCAUGACAUAGAAUACUUUAUCCACUGUUUAUGAUUCAAAAGUGCAACAAUAUUUGUAUUUGUAAACAAUAUAAUAUUUUAGGGUACAUAACAAAACAACAUACCUACAUAUGCAUGUAUCAACAAUUUUAUCUAAUUUUGAAACUAAGAUUGUAUCUUUUGCUAUCAAAAUUUAAUAUACAUGAACUAAAAUGUUAUAUUAUAUCUGUUUUAGUUCUACAUGACAAUGUAUUACAUUUGUUACAUUGUAAUAUGUUUUAUACCAGUUUUGGGGGAAAUAUAUUUUAUAACAACGAUGACAGUGUAUUACAUUGCUUAAAGUAUUAUAGUACUAUCAAAAUGUUGUAAUACAAUUUAUAUUAGUUAAAGUAUUAUAUUCUAAUUUACAAACCAAUGACAAUAUAUUAUAUUGCUUAUAACGGAACUUUAAAAAUAGUAUAAAUCAGAAUGAAGAUAUACCUUGAAGAAGAUUUGUAAUGUAGUCGUUAAUGUCAUCGACUAUUUCAAUAAUUGAUGCCAAAAUAGCUCUACAUUGAAGAAAAUCUGAAUUUGUGUAGUUUUGAAUGAGAUUUGGAUAAGUACUUGUAAUAAUAGCUUCAAUUGGGUCCACAAAAUCUUUAAUGAUUAAAUCUUUUGGAAUAAGUAUCUCAGCAUAUCCAUCACUGGGUUCAAAUUUUUUUUCAUUUCCAACUUGUAAAAUCCAUUCAGAGAAUAGUCGAAUUUCUUCGAAAUUGACUAAAUUUGAGCCACUUUGCAACCACAUAUUUUUUGUUAGAUUAAGAACUUUGCAAUGAUCCAAAAUAUAUGAGGCAUUUAUUGUAGAAUGCACAAUAUCAGACCUACUACCUCUUGGUACAACGGGUAGAAUUUGUCUGAAGUCUCCACCAAAAAUAACAACUUUACCUCAAAAAAUUUGGUUACAUGGACCUUUAUCAUCACUCAUUAUAUCCUUCAAUGACUUCUUAAGAGCUUCAAAAUAAAAUUUAUUUUCCAUAGGUGCUUCAUCCCAUAUAAUGAGUUUUGUGACUUUUAAGAGAUUAGCUAAAUCAAAUUUCUUCUCAAUGUUACAUAUGGAAGAUUCAAGACAUGGAUCUGGAAUUUUGAAUUUGGAAUGUGAUGUUCUCCCUUCUGGUAACAAUAAACUUGUUAUCCCGUUUGAUGCCACAUUCAACACAAUAUCUCCUUGACAACGAAGAACAACAGAAAGUGUAUUCCAUAUGAAAGUCUCUCUGGUGCCCCCAUAACCAUAUAAAAAAAUACUCCACCUUUUUGGUUUGUGACGACUUCCAUGAUUUCUCUAUAAAUGCUAAGUUGUUCUUCUACAAUAAAAAAUAAUAUGUUUUCAUUGGAAUUAUUCAGAAGUCAUAAAAUUAUAUAUGCAAUAUGAACAUGCGUAGUCAUAUAAAGACGACACACUAGAAUAAGGACAACACACUGAAUUGAAUGAUAGAGUAAUGGAAAAAAAUUAUUGCAAGGAAGUGUAAAUAAAAAAUAGAAAUACCUGUUAAUGAUUGAAACAAAUUUUGGUAAAUAUCUUUUUGAGCCGAAAUAUCAUAUUGUCUUUCAUCAUAUAUCAAUUUAUUUCCAAGAAAGUCCAAGACAUAAUUUGAUGGAUAUGGUAUUAGUUUAAAUUCUUUUAAACUUCUUCUAUUUUUUUGAAGUUGUUUCUCAACUUCCAUCAAUGUGAGUUGUUGGAUAUCUUCAUCUGACAAAUAUAAUUCUACAAAUAAUGUUAAGAGCAAAGUAAGUUACCAAAAAUUAGAAAUCCAUAGAUUUGGGAAGAAAAUUCUAAAGUAAUGUGAAUUGUAAACAUGUCGUAUAUAUAGUAAAAUGGGCACAAUAACAGUAGUAUAAACAUGUUAAUUGAAAAGGGUAAAUAAAAAAAUAUGAAUUGUAAAGAUGAGCAGUAUAUAGAAUUUUUUUACAAAAAAGUAAAAUUGAAGGGAUAAAGUAUAAAUUUAUAAUAACCUGAAUUUUGUGACAAUCUUCUUUGUUCAUAUAGAAUGACAUCUGAUAAGUAUAUCCAAGUCUUUUUCCAAACAUGCUCAAGUCGAUUCAUUGAAGGUGACAACAACAUUGUCACAAAAAGUUUGCGCAAAAAAACUCCAAAACCCCAAUUGUAAGCCUCUUUAUUGCCUCAUUGUACUCUUUCUCAUCUUCUAGGAAACCCAAUGCAAAACAUGCGUCUCUAAAGGUAUUGUGUUUGAAUCCCUCAAUUGUCUUCAAAUCAUCAUAACAAGUUGGCCCUUUCUUCACAGUCAACAAUAUCCUCAUAUAAUACAACUCACCAGUUGUUAGAGGCACCCAAAUUAGUCGGCCAAUGGUGUAACCUCUUUUCCGUGGUUUCCAACACCUCUUUCUCCUAUCAUAAACAAAUUUGGAUACAAAUUGAUCAUAUGUUAAUAGUUUUGCUUCUUCAUACUCACUAUUUGCCACAAACCAGGAUGUAAACAUUGACUCUGUGACACUUGGUUUAAGAAGGACAUUCCCAAUUUGCUCAAAGUCUUUGUACUAUACAGAAUUCUCCCCCUCCAUGUGAAAAAAACAAUCUUUCAACUGCUGGUUUUCGACCAUGACUUGAAUAAGAGAAUAUUUUCCAGCAUGCUUCGCUUGGUGAUACAUAACGACAAUCUAGGUAUUGUUUGAUUUCAUCAAUUUUUUCAUCAGUAUGAGAGUUAUUUGGAAUAAUCACUCUUGAGAUUCUAUCAGAACCCUUGUUUAUGUAUUUGAAAAGAUAUUUGAUAGAAGUACUUUGAUUGCACCACUCCAUAUUAAUGUGUGCCUCAUAUUUCAUCAACAAAUUUGGGUUGUGGGGGACAACAUGACCACUAUGAAGUGUGAUUCCAUUUUUUUUCAAUUGUAUUCCCUUGAUCUCUCCUCCUAUAAACUGAAUAUCCAAUCAAAAUUAUCCCAAUUUAAUCAUUCAAUACAAAAUAAUUCUUUCACAUAUCCCAUUCAAACCCUUUUUUUUCAUCAUUUUCAAACUUCUAAACAAAAUCUUAAUUUAAUUAUAUAUCUACAAGAUUGAAAGUCAACUCUAACACUCAUCUUAUUUUAUUAAGUUAAUUAUAUACUCAAUCACAUAUCUUUAAAUUUAUUAAUAUUUAUUUUAAAUUUUAAUAUUAAAAAUUCACAAACAAUUAAUGUGAAACAAUGAACUAUGCCUGUUAGGCUGUUACUAUGACUAUGAGACUAAGGUGUAAUAUUUAUUUCUCAAAUGAUUUGUAAACAAAAUAUAGACAACACCACAUCAUCAUAGAACAAUCCACAUCGGAUAACGGGAGGCGCGUGAAACAAACGAACCACCAUAACAGUAAAAAAACGGACAUAUCUUAUGUCAAGUGAAUACACAACAACGCAACACUCACUAACUCUUAAUUUUGUAUCCAAAUAUCCUGAAAAAUAAAAAACAAACAAAUCUACACAAAUGAUGAACAAGAAAGUCACAAUAAUAAUAAAAAGCCGAAAAGAAAGGAAAAAAAAAAACAAGAUCCACCUCGAACCUCUCUCCACUCUCCCACUACAUUCCAAUCCAAUCACAAUCACCCUCUCUUCUCUCACAACAACAACAACACCACCACUAUCCUCACCCCCUUGUUGUCUCCCAAACCCCAUCCCCAAUUAUCACUCUCUAUAAUCCUUCAAUCAAAUUCCACAAAUUGAUUCUCUCUUCACCACCACCACCAUCACCACCACCACCGCCUUGAACAAAACCAGUGCUUGAUUCAUCACACACAUACACCGAACUCUGUGUGUGUCAGAUUUUGAGAAUCCAAUAAUGAGAGAAGACGAUUCAAAUUGGUUUUCACGAUGGGAAGAACAACUACCUCCACCGGAAGAACUCAUGCCUUUAUCACAAACCCUAAUCACUCCUGAUCUCGCUAUAGCUUUCGAUAUCAGAAACCCUCACACCACGAACACUAUCAACGCUAAUCCGCAACACCAACAACAUCAUCAACAACAACAGCAACAACCUCCACCUUCUU
Molecule: long non-coding RNA, 5732 nt
Filed under: Lathyrus oleraceus (garden pea)
Lineage: Eukaryota; Viridiplantae; Streptophyta; Magnoliopsida; Fabales; Fabaceae
Description: Pisum sativum (pea) long non-coding RNA (PSAT_LNC009856)
Source: RNAcentral